Molecule: transfer RNA, 86 nt
Filed under: Chloroflexota bacterium
Lineage: Bacteria; Bacillati; Chloroflexota
Description: Chloroflexi bacterium tRNA-Leu
Rfam family: tRNA
About the family: Transfer RNA (tRNA) molecules are approximately 80 nucleotides in length.
Source: RNAcentral
GCCGAAGUGGCGGAAUGGUAGACGCGGCGGUCUCAAAAACCGUUGGGGGCAACCCCAUCCGAGUUCGACUCUCGGCUUCGGCACCA